RNAcentral lists this ribosomal RNA (472 nucleotides) under uncultured archaeon. RNAcentral's name for it is "bacterial SSU rRNA". It matches the Rfam family "Bacterial small subunit ribosomal RNA", at positions 385 to 852 of the family's 1533-position model. The record is from RNAcentral.
GAUCAUUAAUGCCGGUGAGUGAAGAAGGCCUUCGGGUUGUAAAGCUCUUUUGUCAGGAAAGAAACAGCAGCUCUAACACAGUCUGCGAAUGACGGUACCUGAAGAAUAAGCACCGGCUAACUACGUGCCAGCAGCCGCGGUAAUACGUAGGGUGCACGCGUUAAUCGGAAUUACUGGGCGUAAAGCGUGCGCAGGCGGUUAUACAAGACAGGCGUGAAAUCCCCGGGCUUAACCUGGGAAUGGCGUCUGUGACUGUAUAGCUAGAGUGUGUCAGAGGGGGGUGGAAUUCCACGUGUAGCAGUGAAAUGCGUAGAUAUGUGGAGGAACACCAAUGGCGAAGGCAGCCCCCUGGGAUAACACUGACGCUCAUGCACGAAAGCGUGGGGAGCAAACAGGAUUAGAUACCCUGGUAGUCCACGCCCUAAACGAUGCUGACUUAGUCGUUGGGAAUCUACAUUCUCAGUAACGUAGC